RNAcentral lists this long non-coding RNA (615 nucleotides) under Oryza brachyantha (malo sina). RNAcentral's name for it is "long non-coding RNA (OBRA_LNC000405)". Lineage: Eukaryota; Viridiplantae; Streptophyta; Magnoliopsida; Poales; Poaceae. The record is from RNAcentral.
GAGCACUGUUUGUACUAAAGUUUAGUUUACUUUUGAUCUGACUGUCGAAUCAUUUAAAAUCUUUUAUGGAUCUAAAUUCUGAUGGGGUGAAGCAGUAUUUGGUUGCAUACGAGAUGUUAGAGUGAAACAAACAUAAACAUAUACUACAUAACUAACCCAUAUGUAGUCGAUCAACAUUGGUCAACAAUAGAAUUGAAACUAGAUUUACUGAGGAGUUGAGGUCCAGAUGGUCGAGUAUGUCCAUGAUAAUGUUGAAUACAAGGUGUCACGUGACGGUGGUGGAACACUUUAUGGGGAUGGUAGAUAUCUAACAUGCUUUACAAGUUGUGUGUGUAAACAUCCGGGAAAUUGUAAAAAAAUAUGAAUGAAAAGUUAAUAAAGAAAAAUAUGAUUUGGGCAGUGGAAUUUGGAAGGAGAGAAUUUAAUUUGUUAAAUUAAAUUUGGUUUUGUAAAUUAAGAGGAUGAGUCCUACUAGUACAUGAAAUUCUGCUCCUAGUUGGUGAUGAGUUUUAGUUAUAAAUAGAUGAAGGGUUGAGACCCUAUAGGUAUAACUUGUGUAAGAGACAAUAUUAUGGUUUGAGAGGAGUGCUUUGUGUGCACUUUGUAAAUACAACU